UACAGAGGUCUCGAGCGUUAGGCGGAAUCACUGGGCUUAAAGCGUGUGUAGGCGGGUCGUUAAGUGCCUUGUGAAAUCCCAUGGCUCAACCAUGGAACUGCUGGGCAUACUGGCGAUCUUGUGCAACCUAGGGGCGAGCGGAACAGAUGGUGGAGCGGUGAAAUGCGUAGAUAUCAUCUGGAACACCAAUUGCGAAGGCAGCUCGCUGGGACGUUACUGACGCUGAGACGCGAAAGCGUGGGGAGCAAACAGG
This 253-nucleotide ribosomal RNA is filed under the name uncultured bacterium. RNAcentral's name for it is "partial 16S ribosomal RNA". It matches the Rfam family "Bacterial small subunit ribosomal RNA", at positions 524 to 776 of the family's 1533-position model. The record is from RNAcentral.